GCAAGAUACCACGGGCGCACGGCGGAUGCCUUGGCACAGGGAGCCGAUGAAGGACGCGGCAAGCUGCGAUAAUCCCCGGCGAGGAGCACACAUCCUUCGACCCGGGGGUCUCCGAAUGGGCGAACCCAU
RNAcentral lists this ribosomal RNA (129 nucleotides) under Collinsella aerofaciens. Its description in RNAcentral is "partial 23S ribosomal RNA". It matches the Rfam family "Bacterial large subunit ribosomal RNA", at positions 1 to 131 of the family's 2925-position model. The record is from RNAcentral. Lineage: Bacteria; Bacillati; Actinomycetota; Coriobacteriia; Coriobacteriales; Coriobacteriaceae.